UACGUAGGGUGCGAGCGUUGUCCGGAAUUAUUGGGCGUAAAGGGCUCGUAGGCGGUUUGUCGCGUCGGGAGUGAAAACCCAGGGCUUAACCCUGGGCUGGCUUCCGAUACGGGCAGACUAGAGGUAUGCAGGGGAGAACGGAAUUCCUGGUGUAGCGGUGAAAUGCGCAGAUAUCAGGAGGAACACCGAUGGCGAAGGCAGGUCUCUGGGCCACUACUGACGCUGAGAAGCGAAAGCAUGGGGAGCGAACAGG
RNAcentral lists this ribosomal RNA (253 nucleotides) under uncultured bacterium. RNAcentral's name for it is "partial 16S ribosomal RNA". It matches the Rfam family "Bacterial small subunit ribosomal RNA", at positions 524 to 776 of the family's 1533-position model. The record is from RNAcentral.